CAUUAUUAUUAUUAUUAUUAUUAUUUAUUAUUAUUAUUAUUAUUUUUAUUGUUAUUAUUAUUAAGAGAGUGAGAAAAGUCUUCAACAUCUUGUGAAACAGUUCAGAGGAAUAGGACUGAGUAUGAAUACAAGGGAAAGAAAGUAUUGAACAAAAAAUAUCUAUAACAAUAAGUUAUUUCUUAUCUUUUAAAAAUAGAUAUGUAAGAAGCUCUUCUUGUUCGUAUACAGUAUCAGAAAUGGUACUCACAAGAACUUGAGGAGGCAUUUCCUUCAAAAUGGAAUAAAACCUAGGGUUCAUGGGAACACUGGUCGCAUUCCUUGUCAUGCUGUUUCUGUGGAAGGCAUUAAAGAUGUGGUAGCAUUUUUGGAGAACUAUGCUGAAGACUACGCCAUUUUACUACCUGGGAUGAUACCAAGAGUGAGGGAUUAUGGGAAAGCCAAGCUAUUGCCGUCCAGUGUGUCCCAACGCAUGGUUUACCGGCAGUAUGCUGAUGCUGGUAGGGAACAUACUCUCUGUGAAAGUUCCUUUAAAAGAAUAUGGAGAAAGUAUGUUCCCCACAUUUACAGCAUCAAGCCAAUGACGAACUUAUGCUGGACGUGCAAAAAGAACAGCACUGCAAUUUUAAGGAAUGCUGGGUGUGAGAUUGAGCAUCAGUCUGAGAAGAAAAGGAGACAACAUAGGGGUAAAUGGAAGCAUUGACGAGGUGGCGGGAGAGGAGCUGGAAGAGGAGGUGGCCAAGGAGGAGGAGAUGGACAAAAA
This 760-nucleotide long non-coding RNA is filed under the name Amphimedon queenslandica. RNAcentral describes it as "uncharacterized LOC109587592". The record is from RNAcentral. Lineage: Eukaryota; Metazoa; Porifera; Demospongiae; Haplosclerida; Niphatidae.